Molecule: ribosomal RNA, 397 nt
Filed under: uncultured bacterium
Lineage: Bacteria
Description: partial 16S ribosomal RNA
Rfam family: Bacterial small subunit ribosomal RNA
Source: RNAcentral
AUACGUAGGGGGCGAGCGUUGUCCGGAAUGAUUGGGCGUAAAGGGCGCGUAGGCGGCGCGGUAAGUCUGGAGUGAAAGUCCUGCUUUCAAGGUGGGAAUUGCUUUGGAUACUGCCGCGCUUGAGUGCCGGAGAGGUUAUCGGAAUUCCCGGUGUAGCGGUGAAAUGCGUAGAGAUCGGGAGGAACACCAGUGGCGAAGGCGGGUAACUGGACUGCAACUGACGCUGAGGCGCGAAAGUGUGGGGAGCAAACAGGAUUAGAUACCCUGGUAGUCCACACUGUAAACGAUGAAUGCUAGGUGUAAGAGGUAUCGACCCCUUUUGUGCCGGAGUCAACACAAUAAGCAUUCCGCCUGGGGAGUACGGCCGCAAGGUUGAAACUCAAAGGAAUUGACGGGG